GCAGUGGCCCGUGCCUGUAGUCCCAGCUACUCAGGAUGCUGAAGCAGGAGGAUAGAUUGAGUUCUCGGCUGUAGUGCACUAUGCUGAUAGGGUGUCUGCAUUAAGUUCUGCAUUAGUAUGGUUACCUCCCAGGAGAGGAGGACCAUUAGACUGCCUAAGGAGAUAUGAAUUGACUAAGAUCAGAAAUGGAGCACGUAAAAACCUCCAUGUUGAUCAGUAGUGGGAUUGUGCCUGUGAAUAGCCACUGCACUGCAGUCCAGGGAACAUAGUGAGACCUUGUCUCU
RNAcentral lists this signal recognition particle RNA (284 nucleotides) under Saimiri boliviensis boliviensis (Bolivian squirrel monkey). RNAcentral's name for it is "Metazoan signal recognition particle RNA (ENSSBOG00000009127.1)". It matches the Rfam family "Metazoan signal recognition particle RNA". Rfam says of the family: The signal recognition particle (SRP) is a universally conserved ribonucleoprotein. It is involved in the co-translational targeting of proteins to membranes. Lineage: Eukaryota; Metazoa; Chordata; Mammalia; Primates; Cebidae. The record is from RNAcentral.